AACGAACGCUGGCGGCAUGCCUAACACAUGCAAGUCGAACGAGACCUUCGGGUCUAGUGGCGUACGGGUGCGUAACGCGUGGGAACCUGCCCUUAGGUUCGGAAUAACUCCCUGAAAGGGGUGCUAAUACCGGAUAAUGUCUUCGGACCAAAGGUUUAUCGCCCUUGGAUGGGCCCGCGUUGGAUUACCUAGUUGGUAGGGUAAAAGCCUACCAAGGCGACGAUCCAUAGCUGGUCUGAGAGGAUGGUCCGCCACACUGGGACUGAGACACGGCCCGGAAUCCUACGGGAGGGAGGAGUGGGGGAUGUUGGAAAGUGGGCGGAAGGCUGAAGCAGCUAUGACCGGAAAGUGCUGAAGGCAUUAGGGUUGUAAAGCUCUUUUAACCGAGAUGAUAAUGACGGUACCGGGAGAAUAAGCUCCGGCUAACUCCGUG
This 433-nucleotide ribosomal RNA is filed under the name uncultured bacterium. Its description in RNAcentral is "partial 16S ribosomal RNA". It matches the Rfam family "Bacterial small subunit ribosomal RNA", at positions 29 to 507 of the family's 1533-position model. The record is from RNAcentral.